This 502-nucleotide ribosomal RNA is filed under the name uncultured bacterium. Its description in RNAcentral is "bacterial SSU rRNA". It matches the Rfam family "Bacterial small subunit ribosomal RNA", at positions 28 to 526 of the family's 1533-position model. The record is from RNAcentral.
GAUGAACGCUGGCGGCGUGCCUAACACAUGCAAGUCGAACGGGACUAUUCCAGAAUGCGGCUUCGGCCAAAGGAAGGUUUAGUCUAGUGGCGGACGGGUGAGUAACGCGUGAGCAACCUGCCUUUCAGAGGGGGACAACAGCUGGAAACGGCUGCUAAUACCGCAUAUUGCGUUUGGAUCGCAUGGUCUGAACGUGAAAGAUUUAUCGCUGAAAGAUGGGCUCGCGUCUGAUUAGCUAGUUGGUGAGGUAAUGGCUCACCAAGGCUUCGAUCAGUAGCCGGACUGAGAGGUUGAACGGCCACAUUGGGACUGAGAUACGGCCCAGACUCCUACGGGAGGCAGCAGUGGGGAAUAUUGGGCAAUGGGCGCAAGCCUGACCCAGCAACGCCGCGUGGAGGAAGAAGGCUUUCGGGUUGUAAACUCCUUUGACCAGGGAAGAAACAAAUGACGGUACCUGGAAAACAAGCCACGGCUAACUACGUGCCAGCCGCCGCCGUAACAC